AUCUUCGGCGGAAGACUUUUAGUAUAUGAUUCAGGAGGGUAUUAGGACCAAUAAAAACUAUGAGGCAUUUCUGUUGCAAAUUUUUUGUCUUUUUGGGCUAGAUUGACUGGCCUACUAGGC
This is a long non-coding RNA of Alosa sapidissima (American shad), 120 nucleotides long. RefSeq lists it as uncharacterized. NCBI's taxonomy places the organism in Eukaryota, Metazoa, Chordata, Actinopteri, Clupeiformes, Clupeidae. The record is from RefSeq and is a predicted model, not a curated record. The transcript is spliced from 3 exons.